GCCAUCCACAGUGGUGAUUUGGCCGGUCCGAUUGCAGCCACUUUAAACAAGUCGCUAAAGGAUGCCGGAGGCUCGCCCUC
Molecule: non-coding RNA, 80 nt
Filed under: Devosia enhydra
Lineage: Bacteria; Pseudomonadati; Pseudomonadota; Alphaproteobacteria; Hyphomicrobiales; Devosiaceae
Source: RNAcentral